CAAAAGGUUUUUUUCAAAACCACACAAUAUUGUGAUUCAGCUCAUGG
Molecule: non-coding RNA, 47 nt
Organism: Danio rerio (zebrafish)
Lineage: Eukaryota; Metazoa; Chordata; Actinopteri; Cypriniformes; Danionidae
Source: Rfam